UACGGAGGGGGCUAGCGUUGUUCGGAAUUACUGGGCGUAAAGCGUGCGUAGGCGGUCUCUUAAGUCCGUUGUGAAAGCCCUGGGCUCAACCUGGGAACUGCAGUGGAUACUGAGAAGCUAGAGUGUGUCAGAGGAUGGUGGAAUUCCCGGUGUAGCGGUGAAAUGCGUAGAGAUCGGGAGGAACAUCAGUGGCGAAGGCGGCUCUCUGGGACGGUACUGACGCUGAGACGCGAAAGCGUGGGGAGCGAACAGG
RNAcentral lists this ribosomal RNA (253 nucleotides) under uncultured bacterium. RNAcentral's name for it is "partial 16S ribosomal RNA". It matches the Rfam family "Bacterial small subunit ribosomal RNA", at positions 524 to 776 of the family's 1533-position model. The record is from RNAcentral.